GCAAAUAAUUUAAGCCCACCCAAUACCACAAAAUAACACAUAAUCACACUAAAACAUUCUAAAAGACUAGUAGCUGAGAGCAAACUUCACACUUGACGCAAUAGAGAUUAGUACUGUGAAGGAAAAUUGAAAGACCAACAUAUAUUAAGCACAAAAAAGCAGAGAUAAAACCACAUACCUAUUGCAUCAUUGUCCAGCCAGUCAAACUCCGACAAGAAGCCCCCCUAGCCUGACACCCCGAAUGUAAGUGAGCUAUUCCCAAGCAGUUUAAUAGAACCAACUCGUUUCUGUUACAAAAGAAUGAGAAGACUCGAGAAUAGAGGCGAAAAACCAAACGAACUUACCGAUAGCUGGUUGCCUGAAUAAUGAAUUUAAGUUCAACCUUGGGUUAUAGUUAUAAAAAACAUAAUAACCACUUUACCCAAGAUAUAAUCAAUAAAGGUACAGCUCUAUUGAUUUGGGCUACAACCCAAAGUGGAGAGAAAGCACAAAAUAUUUUAACCAGUUGACCUUAAAACAGCCACCACUAAAUAUUACGUCACAGUAACACCACCCUAAAUACAAAAAUGCAAACCAACCUCCCACUUUCCAACCAGGCCAUUCUAUAAAACUAUAGAAGAAACCCUGCUAGAACGAGUAACAUGAAAAUUUUCUCUAAAAUAAGAGCCAAGCGUAUUCAGAAAAUAUGAAAAACAAUUCACAGCCAUAAAAUAAACUGUAGCCCCGACAUAGGAUUAUUUUCAGAAGACAUAAGUUUUUAAAAGGAACUCGGCAACCAACCUUUCCAACUGUUUACCAAAAACAUAGCCAUUAGCCAAACAAGUAUUAAAGGUAAUGCCUGCCCAGUGAGGGAAACCUUAAACGGCCGCGAUAACCCGUGCAAAGGUAGCGCAAUCACUUGUCUUCUAAAUAAAGACCUGUAUGAAUGGCCACAUGAGAAAGAAACUGUCUCUUGAAAACAGUCGGUGAAACUGAUCUGCCUGUACAAAAGCAGGCAUGCCAAAACAAGACAAAAAGACCCUGUGAAACUUUAAAUUAUCACCAAACAUAUGGUACUAAUUUUAAGUUGGGGCAACUAUAGAGAAACAAAACCUCUAUAUCACCACCAGAUCAACCAAUCUAUUGGGUUAAACUAUAAGACCCAGUAUUACUGAUCAAUGAACCAAGCUACUCCAGGGAUAACAGCGCCACAUUCUUGAAGAGUUCUUAUCAACAAGAAUAUCUACGACCUCGAUGUUGGACCAGGAUAUCCAAGUGGUGUAGAAGCUACUAAUGGUUCGUUUGUUCAACGAUAAAAAUCCUACGCGAUCUGAGUUCAGACCGGAGUAAUCCAGGUCGGUCUAUAUCUGUUCCACCGCUCCAUCCAGUACGAAAGGACCGAUGAAGCAGGACCAACUCUGAAGGAAAGUCCUUCAAACAACGCACUGAAAAAAUCUCAAGUGCAAAACAUGUGCCUAGGCAUUAUAAUCCUAGGCAAGAACUUC
Molecule: ribosomal RNA, 1484 nt
Filed under: Phrynocephalus vlangalii pylzowi
Lineage: Eukaryota; Metazoa; Chordata; Lepidosauria; Squamata; Agamidae
Description: 16S ribosomal RNA
Rfam family: Bacterial large subunit ribosomal RNA
Source: RNAcentral